This 241-nucleotide unclassified non-coding RNA is filed under the name Hevea brasiliensis (rubber tree). The record is from RNAcentral. Lineage: Eukaryota; Viridiplantae; Streptophyta; Magnoliopsida; Malpighiales; Euphorbiaceae.
GCUUUUGGGAAUAUUGCUAAUUCAUCUGCUACUUCCAUCAAUAUAGAAUUUCAACAGGUAUAAAUAACGAAAAAGAUACAUAGUAGACACCAUGGAUCCCAUUGAAUUUCAUUCAGAAGAGGAAUCGUAUUGAUCCUUAUUAAAGGAAGACAGAUCAAUCAAGCCUGUUCAAACAGGAACAAGUCAAUUAAAGGGCAUUUUAGUAGCAAUUGGAGUUAUGAAUUUAAAAUUUUUAGUGGAC